AGCGAACGCUGGCGGUGGGCCUAACACAUGCAAGUCGAACGGCAGCACACUAAGAGCUUGCUCUUACGGAUUGCCAGUGGCGGACGGGUGAGGAAUACAUCGGAAUCUACUUUUUCGUAGGAGAUAACGUAACGAAACUUACUCUCAUACCGCAUACGACCUACGGGUGAAAGCAGGGGAUCUUCUGACCUUGCGCGAUUGAAUGAGCCGAUGUCGGAUUAGCUAGUUGGCGGGGUAAAGGCCCACCCAGGCGACGAUCCGUAGCUGGUCUGAGAGGAUGAUCAGCCACACGGGAAGGGAGACACGGUCCAGACUCCUACGGGAGGCAGCAGUGGGGAAUAUUGGACAAUGGGGGCAAGCCUGAUCCAGCCAUACCGCGUGGGUGAAGAAGGCCUUCGGGUUGUAAAGCCCUUUUGUUGGGAAAGAAAAGCAGCAGGUUAAUACCACGCUGUCCUGACGGUACCCAAAGAAUAAGCACCGGCUAACUUCGUG
RNAcentral lists this ribosomal RNA (492 nucleotides) under uncultured bacterium. RNAcentral's name for it is "partial 16S ribosomal RNA". It matches the Rfam family "Bacterial small subunit ribosomal RNA", at positions 29 to 507 of the family's 1533-position model. The record is from RNAcentral.